This 125-nucleotide ribosomal RNA is filed under the name Escherichia coli. RNAcentral describes it as "partial 16S ribosomal RNA". It matches the Rfam family "Bacterial small subunit ribosomal RNA", at positions 1 to 116 of the family's 1533-position model. The record is from RNAcentral. Lineage: Bacteria; Pseudomonadati; Pseudomonadota; Gammaproteobacteria; Enterobacterales; Enterobacteriaceae.
UUAAAUUGAAGAGUUUGAUCAUGGCUCAGAUUGAACGCUGGCGGCAGGCCUAACACAUGCAAGUCGAACGGUAACAGAAAUCAGCUUGCUGAUUUGCUGACGAGUGGCGGACGGGUGAGUAAUGU